Molecule: long non-coding RNA, 1870 nt
Organism: Brassica oleracea var. oleracea
Lineage: Eukaryota; Viridiplantae; Streptophyta; Magnoliopsida; Brassicales; Brassicaceae
Exons: 2
Source: RefSeq, a predicted model, not a curated record
ACAGGAAGACAAACCAUGUAUCAGUUAAGGCCAAUACUUUAUUCCGAACAAUGAAUUAGUUUUCAUACUUUUUAAUUCUAAGAAAUCAAAACGGAAAGCACUUUGCACAGACACAACACAAAUAAUAGAUUGGUCGGAACCAAGAUUCAAAAGAUAGACAAUCACUAACCUAAAUCCAAUUCGUCUUACCUAGUAUCGAUAUCAGAUCCACUCCCAGAAUCCUAAUUCAUAUCAUGUCUCCUGAGUGGCCAUGGAUAUGAUACACUAAACCUCCUCGGCGUCGGCGAACUCUCAACCGUUCGUUGUCCGACUUCCCCACUGGUCUGACCUCCAUGAGUCAUGAACUUGUAAUCAGCAUCGUCUGUGGGGAACUCAUAUGACAAACAGGGCACGAGUUAUGAAGCUGCAACAAUGGAAGCAAGCAAACUUGAUGGCAAACGCGGUGGAUUUCGCCGUUUUAUAGGAAUACUGCGGGUUUGAUUACCGGGUAUGUAGAGUAGAGGAAGAGCGAGAGCCAUAGGCUUUACCUUCGUUAGUGGAGGUUUUUCGAUUUUGGUUUGAGUUAAAAUUUUGAAGAAACGAUCUUCAUAGGAGAAGAUACAUAGGGAGGAGGUGAAAGGAAACCAAAAAGGAGUAAAGGAUAUAAUUGAUUGACAAAGAAAGGGUUGUGGUAACGGAGAUUUGCAGGGAUACGAAACGGAGACGACAAAGGUGUGAGCCGUUUCGAGAAGUGAGCGUGACUGGACCAUUAGGAAAUAUCAUGAGCACACGAAAGUUUCGGUAUUUUUUUACCGAACAAAACUCUUAUGACAUGGCAAUUCAUCGAAGAUGACGUGGAUGAUUGUUUCAAUAUUAAUGGCUGAUUUUUUCUGCUGACGUGGACAGGUUUAGAGGACUUGAUAUCCUGCUUUUAGUAUUGUUAGAUUAACUCAUAAGAAUGACGAACUCUCUCUCCUCCCUAUAUUUCCUCUUCUUUGCUCGCUGAUGUUUGUUGUCUCGUGGUUUCUGGUUCCUUGCAGUUUGCUUCCACUUAUGUCGCGAAAGGAGCCCUAAUUUAAGUCUUGCUAGCGGGGAGAUCGACUCCGGGAUGCUCUUUGUUCGUGUUUGAAUUCUUGGCACAGAAAGGAACAGUUGCUAUUGGUGGGAGUCGGCUUUUUAGGGUUUCAUAAGGGAAAAUCCUUGUAGAAUUCACGGUCCAUGGAGAUGGUGCUUGGGCUCUGGUUGGCGGUGGGUCUCAGAUCUGCCUCUUUGGUCGCGAAUGGAGUGUUUUCGGCAGUUGGUUUGGCGGGUAUCCAUGGUGUCGUGGAGAGCUCCGAUCAGUGUAUUAGCGGCUGAGGGCUUCAGAGGUUUCUUUGCUCGAAGACUUGCCUAGCCAAAGGAACUGACAUGUGUCAUAUCCGGCGGUGAUGUCAUGUGGAGGCUUGUUGUGUCACAAAAUCGCAGUUGUCGUCCAUGGCUUCUCUGGUAUGAUGCGUGCAGCUUCCUUCUCAUCUGACUUUCUUCUUCCUGGUGCUUAUGUCUGGUUCAUUGCUGAAGCUCUGUCGACGGGUUUCUUUGGUUAUUCAGGUCAUGUCGUUAUUUGGUUCUGUUUCGUUGUCACGGGGACUUUUAUCUUGGUUUCCGAAUCCGGUUCUCGGAGGAGGUGACUGGCGUAAUCGUGGUUGACGCUUGAGUAUGUGUUCACCUCUUUCUUACAGUUACACUAGUCGGAGUGCCAUAUCCCAUUUCUGUUAGCCACGCUUGUUGCUCUUAGUAAUUUUCCUUUCUAACACCAUUUUUCAGGUCAUAGAGCUCUUCUCGGGUUAUGUGCAGAUGUAUUAUUUUUCCCGGUUUUAUGCAUUCCGUUAUUGACGGAGGAUAUCGUUCGAUU